AGAGUUUGAUCCUGGCUCAGGACGAACGCUGGCGGCGUGCCUAAUACAUGCAAGUCGAGCGGAUCUUCAUUAGCUUGCUUUUGAAGAUCAGCGGCGGACGGGUGAGUAACACGUGGGCAACCUGCCUGUAAGACUGGGAUAACUUCGGGAAACCGGAGCUAAUACCGGAUAAUCCUUUCCCUCACAUGAGGGAAAGCUGAAAGACGGUUUCGGCUGUCACUUACAGAUGGGCCCGCGGCGCAUUAGCUAGUUGGUGAGGUAACGGCUCACCAAGGCAACGAUGCGUAGCCGACCUGAGAGGGUGAUCGGCCACACUGGGACUGAGACACGGCCCAGACUCCUACGGGAGGCAGCAGUAGGGAAUCUUCCGCAAUGGACGAAAGUCUGACGGAGCAACGCCGCGUGAACGAUGAAGGCUUUCGGGUCGUAAAGUUCUGUUGUUAGGGAAGAACAAGUACCGGAGUAACUGCCGGUACCUUGACGGUACCUAACCAGAAAGCCACGGCUAACUACGUGCCAGCAGCCGCGGUAAUACGUAGGUGGCAAGCGUUGUCCGGAAUUAUUGGGCGUAAAGCGCGCGCAGGCGGUUCCUUAAGUCUGAUGUGAAAGCCCCCGGCUCAACCGGGGAGGGUCAUUGGAAACUGGGGAACUUGAGUGCAGAAGAGGAGAGCGGAAUUCCACGUGUAGCGGUGAAAUGCGUAGAGAUGUGGAGGAACACCAGUGGCGAAGGCGGCUCUCUGGUCUGUAACUGACGCUGAGGCGCGAAAGCGUGGGGAGCGAACAGGAUUAGAUACCCUGGUAGUCCACGCCGUAAACGAUGAGUGCUAAGUGUUAGAGGGUUUCCGCCCUUUAGUGCUGCAGCAAACGCAUUAAGCACUCCGCCUGGGGAGUACGGCCGCAAGGCUGAAACUCAAAGGAAUUGACGGGGGCCCGCACAAGCGGUGGAGCAUGUGGUUUAAUUCGAAGCAACGCGAAGACCCUUACCAGGUCUUGACAUCCUCUGACACCCUAGAGAUAGGGCGUUCCCCUUCGGGGACAGAGUGACAGUUG
This 1050-nucleotide ribosomal RNA is filed under the name uncultured bacterium. Its description in RNAcentral is "bacterial SSU rRNA". It matches the Rfam family "Bacterial small subunit ribosomal RNA", at positions 8 to 1040 of the family's 1533-position model. The record is from RNAcentral.